GGGAAUACACUGGGAAAGGGAGGCAGAGCUUCACCGGGAUACUGGAUUAAGACGGGGCAGAGAGGCUGAUAUGCAAAGAGGGGCGGAGAUAUGGGACCGGGAGUCGGGGCUAAGAAGGGGCAGAGAAAUUCCUCUGCAGUGGGACAGAGACCGAGAAGUAGAACUACAGUGGGAGAGAGAACGAGAGGCAGAAUACUGGCACAGAAGGGCUACCGUAUCCCCCUACGGGCCUCACGGUCAUGAAUUACCAGCAUUUAACGUCGAUCCACUUCCUGCAGGCCAUCCUGCAUACCCCGAACCCUCCCGGUCCCACUCUCAUGCCCAUCUGGAUCUCAAGUACAGCAGCAGUUCCAGUGGAUAUCAGACACCACACCAGAUGUGCCCCUGCUCCCCCUACCAGCCUUCACCCUCAGAGAGUCGUGGCUAUGCCUCAGAUUACCAGUCUGAGUCCACGUCCCCUCUUCCACCUCCCUCCACCUCGUGCCCUGGCCCAGUGCACCAUGCCAGCGGACCUAUAGAUAACCAAACAGACUCCCACCCUCAGCAGUACACCUCUGAAACAAAUACAGACAGCAUAGGCUGGCGUAGUCACAUUACCCAUGGUUCCCUACGGCGGACACAUCAAGAUCCACAUGCCCCUUGUUCAACACCCUCUGAUAUUUCAGGACCUCCAACACCAGUCCACACAAGCAGCCCUUUGCAAUUCCAGGAGAGUCCUAGCCUGAGUGUCCGUGAGUAUGACUCAAGAGAGGUGAACAGUGAAAGCAGCUCGGCCCACUCCCACAACAGGACACAUCCACUUGCCCUACAGUCAAACAGUACCAGUCCGGGGUCUCGGCAAACUGUACUUUCUUCCAGUCAAGAGAUUCCUGAGAUAAACUCCUUUCCUGCCACACCCACCACUGCCCAACAACUCUCUGCCCUGCUUACUACACCUCCCACCCCACAAAGCUCACCAGAGCACUCCGCCCCUUUAACACCUCCAUCAGAAUCUAUCCAACCACAGACAAACAGCUCGCCUACUGCUGCUACAGUGCCACCCAGAGGGGAAAUGGUACCACAUUCAACUGUUAAACCAGCACCUUCACCAGAUCCCUCUUCUCAUAUCCUGUCCAAGUCCAUCCUAGCUCAUUCACAGAGCAACGGAGUAUCACCAUCUCCUGAACCAGACACCACUUCUGCUUCUUCAGUCCCUGCGUCCCCUCAACCACCCACUGGCGAACACGAGAGCUCAUCCUCCCCUGAACCCCCAGUCCCCGGAUUCGCCACGCUGGGCAGGAAGCUGAUGUUGGGCUCUGAAACCUCACUUCCCCCAGGACACAGUACGGACGGCAGCCCCAGCUCCACUCCCACCUUCCCUGUCUCUCCCGCCUGCUGCACCCCAUCUCCUCCACCAGGUCUCCACUUAGGGUGCCCAGCCAACUCCGUCCCACAGCCUCCCCUCCCUGAGAAACGCCGCCCAUCCGGCCUGCCAGGAUCACCCAACGGGAGGUCUGGAAUGCUGAGGGGGUCCAUGAGUCAUCAGCCCUCUGGGCAACACCAUGUUACAUUCUCACCUUCAGUAGGAGAGCUGACCAUGCCCGCUGGACAGGGAGAAGUUGGUGUAGAGGGUGAGAUGGGCAGCCGUGUCAGUGUGAAAUUUGUGCAGGACAGCUCUCGGUUUUGGUAUAAACCUGGCAUCUCUAGAGAGCAAGGUGAGAAAACCACUGUUGUCUUUUAACUAUAUAAAACUAAAUGCAGUUUAGAGAUAUCUUCAUAGCCAGCUUCUAAUUAGGGCUGGGUAAAGAUACUGAUUUUCCAUUUAAUUUUCAUUUGAGCAAUCUCCAUUUGUAAAACUGAAGUGCAGUGUACUGCAAAAUAAUGUCCAGAGGUGGCUUUCUUUUGAGUUCCCUCCAAAAAUAUACCCAAAUGAAUUGGAAUCAAAUCAGAAUUUAACUAGAUCAGGAAAUGUCUGUCAAUACCCAGCAUUAUUGCUGAUUGCUGUAUGCAAAUGCAGCCAUGUCUUAUUAGUGGUCCUUGCACUUUUCAUAACCCUUAGUAUGAGCAAGACUAACAGUGAUGCUUACUUUUGUGCUGUAGUGUUUUUGCACAUGCUGCAACAGAUUGUUGUUCCAUAUGUUUGGAUCUAUUUUUUAAAUGGCAAUGUCUCAUUAAACUGUCCUGUCUCUGUUCAACAGCUAUUGCAGCACUGAAGGAAAGAGAGCCAGGGACCUUCCUCAUCCGAGACAGUAACUCUU
Molecule: long non-coding RNA, 2237 nt
Organism: Cyprinus carpio (common carp)
Lineage: Eukaryota; Metazoa; Chordata; Actinopteri; Cypriniformes; Cyprinidae
Source: Ensembl